Molecule: non-coding RNA, 105 nt
Organism: Acanthosepion pharaonis
Lineage: Eukaryota; Metazoa; Mollusca; Cephalopoda; Sepiida; Sepiidae
Source: the annotation of a GenBank genome assembly
AUACGGCCAUAUCAUGUUUAAACUCUGGUUCUCAUGCGAUCGCCAUAGUUAAGCAACGUCGAGCCUGAUCAGUACCCACUUUGGGGACCACUUGGGAAUACAAGA